GAUUUUUCCCUACUCCUACGCCCGGCGCGCCAGCUGGAUCCGGCAGCGUCGUCACUAGCCUAAGCCAUAUCAGUCUCGAUAUAGCAACCAUCAAAGAUCGCAUUUGACAGUUAUGGCAAAGCGACACACCCUUCGCGCGUCCUGAGACUUGACGGUCGGUGACGAGGGAAAACUCGUAUCGAUUGAACCAGAGUUUCGGGGCCGAUUGGGAGGAUACCGGAGAUCGAUUGACGGCAGCGGCGCGUUUGGCGCUCCUGCACGAUUGCGCGGCCCACGAAACCCAAGGGUACGCGUCCAUCAACCAGGGAGAGUUAA
This 315-nucleotide non-coding RNA is filed under the name Mesorhizobium sp. LSHC420B00. RNAcentral describes it as "Mesorhizobail RNA 7". It matches the Rfam family "Mesorhizobail RNA 7". From Rfam's summary of the family: Existence predicted via genome wide comparisons with 4 related strains. Analysed further by deep sequencing and Northern blot under various stress conditions. Lineage: Bacteria; Pseudomonadati; Pseudomonadota; Alphaproteobacteria; Hyphomicrobiales; Phyllobacteriaceae. The record is from Rfam by way of RNAcentral.